This is a non-coding RNA of Lonchura striata (white-rumped munia), 179 nucleotides long. The record is from RefSeq and is a predicted model, not a curated record. NCBI's taxonomy places the organism in Eukaryota, Metazoa, Chordata, Aves, Passeriformes, Estrildidae.
CAGCAGCGCCCACGAGUUCCUCACCUGGCUCGACAGCAUCCAGUUCGCGGGGGGGGGCGGCGAGAGCUGCAGCCUGAUCGCCGAGGGGCUCAGCACCGCCCUGCAGCUCUUCGACGACUUCAAGAAAAUGAGGGAGCAAAUAGGACAGACCCACAAGGUUUGCGUGCUGAUCUGUGACU